CUUUCCUAGCAGUGUGCGUUUUCGCUUCUUUCCCCGGCGAGACGAACUCCCCGCAGUCCCCGCAGCGGUGAACGGCGGCGCUGCUGCCUCUGGACACCUGCGCAGCCGCGCGGAAGACCAUCAGGGCACAUACAGGGUGGUGGUUUCGAUGCAUCGAUUCAGGUUCCGAGAUCCCAGUAGAUAGGGUUCAACAUAGGGCUCGAUUCGAAAGUUGCGCAAUCACGCAUUGGAGGAGUCCCUGGUCACGGGAAUGGGGCCGUCACGUUGGGAGCCAGUGACGAACCUGCCACUUCAGUGCCGGUGACCUCUGGUUGUCGUCUAUGCUGUCCAAGCAAGAAACUACUUCCUGUAUUGUUGGCCUCAUGGAAGGAUUAUGGUUGACACACUGGCAAGCAACUUCAAGCAUCUUCAGCAUUUGCUCCUCAUACCCUGUGCCCCGGAGUGCUGAAUCCAGAACUUCAAUCUGCUUUCCUUCAGAUCUCAUUUCCAAUACCCACUGAACGAGUUCUUUUGACACAAAUGAGAUUGGAACAGGCCGCUGGCCUGUGAGCAGUUCAAGCAGGACUACGCCAAAACUGUAGAUAUCACCUCUCAGAGUAGCCACCCAUCCUUGCCCAUACUCA
Panicum hallii is the source of this 623-nucleotide long non-coding RNA. RefSeq lists it as uncharacterized. NCBI's taxonomy places the organism in Eukaryota, Viridiplantae, Streptophyta, Magnoliopsida, Poales, Poaceae. The record is from RefSeq and is a predicted model, not a curated record. The transcript is spliced from 3 exons.